This 464-nucleotide ribosomal RNA is filed under the name uncultured bacterium. Its description in RNAcentral is "bacterial SSU rRNA". It matches the Rfam family "Bacterial small subunit ribosomal RNA", at positions 338 to 795 of the family's 1533-position model. The record is from RNAcentral.
CCUACGGGUGGCACCAGUGGGGAAUAUUGCACAAUGGGCGCAGGCCUGAUGCAGCCAUGCCGCGUGUGUGAAGAAGGCCUUCGGGUUGUAAAGCACUUUCAGCGGGGAGGAAGGCGUUAAGGUUAAUAACCUUGGCGAUUGACGUUACCCGCAGAAGAAGCACCGGCUAACUCCGUGCCAGCAGCCGCGGUAAUACGGAGGGUGCAAGCGUUAAUCGGAAUUACUGGGCGUAAAGCGCACGCAGGCGGUCUGUCAAGUCGGAUGUGAAAUCCCCGGGCUCAACAUGGGAACUGCAUUCGAAACUGGCAGGCUGAGUCUUGUAGAGGGGGGUAGAAUUCCAGGUGUAGCGGUGAAAUGCGUAGAGAUCUGGAGGAAUACCGGUGGCGAAGGCGGCCCCCUGGACAAAGACUGACGCUCAGGUGCGAAAGCGUGGGGAGCAAACAGGAUUAGAUACCCUCGUAGUC